CCUACGGGAGGCAGCAGUGGGGAAUAUUGGACAAUGGGGGAAACCCUGAUCCAGCGACGCCGCGUGAUUGAAGAAGUAUUUCGGUAUGUAAAGCUCUUUCAGCAGGAAAGAAAUUGACGGUACCUGACUAAGAAGCCUCGGGUAACUACGUGUCAGCAGCCGCGGUAAUUCGUAGGGGGCAAGCGUUAUUCGGAUUUACUGGGUGUAAAGGGGGGGUAGGCGGGAAUGCAAGUCUGGAGGGAAAUGCCGGGGCCCAACCCCCGAACUGCUGUGGAAACUGUGAGGCUUGAGUGCAGGAGAGGUAGGCGGAAUUCCUGGUGUAGCGGUGAAAUGCGUAGAUAUCAGGAGGAACACCGGCGGCGAAGGCGGCUUACUGGACAGUAACUGACGUUGAGGCGCGAAGGCGUGGGGAGCAAACAGGAUUAGAUACCCCUGUAGUC
Molecule: ribosomal RNA, 440 nt
Filed under: uncultured bacterium
Lineage: Bacteria
Description: partial 16S ribosomal RNA
Rfam family: Bacterial small subunit ribosomal RNA
Source: RNAcentral